RNAcentral lists this long non-coding RNA (321 nucleotides) under Malus domestica (apple). Its description in RNAcentral is "long non-coding RNA (MDOM_LNC016243)". The record is from RNAcentral. Lineage: Eukaryota; Viridiplantae; Streptophyta; Magnoliopsida; Rosales; Rosaceae.
CAAGCUUCUAGUUAGAAACUGACUGCCUGGAACCCCUUGCCUAAUUACUUACCUGGCAUUGCUCUCGAGUACUCAUCUUCAACAUUUUAUGCUUCCAGAGAAGAUAUCACAUCUGCCUGAGGAACAGAUAGGGCAAGUGAGAAGGAUACAAGGAAGCAUGUGGAGACAAGCGCAACAGAACACAUGCCGAUUCAUCUAUUACUUCGUCAACAGCAAAAGUAUCCCAUAUCAUCAAGGUCGAAUGCACUCUUGAUUUGAUGGACUUGUUUUGACCCUUAAAUUCUUGAGUCGGCCUUAUAUUCUAGAGGAAACCAGAAAACU